UAGACGCAGGUCAUCAACCUGCAUCGAUUACGUCCCUGCCCUUUGUACACACCGCCCGUCGCUUCUACCGAUUGGUCGUCCCGGUGAACAAUCGGGAGGCCGUGCUCAUGGUCAGCAAUGGCCGGAGCGCGGUUGAACUUUUGUAAAUUUGGACGACUAGAGGAAGAAGAAGUCGUAACAAGGUUUCCGUAGGUGAACCUGCGGAAGGAUCAUUAGCGUUCAUUUGGUCUUGGUGCCAUGCGAAAAACAUGUGGAUUGUGGGCUAUGUGACCCCUCUGUGGGGGGUAUUUUGUCGCGAACACGGAACGGAUUGGCUAAUGGAAUCAUAAAGAUAAACAAAAUACAACUCUUAGCAAUGGAUAUCUUGGUUCCCGCAACGAUGAAGAACGCAGCGAAAUGCGAUACGUAAUGCGAAUUGCAGAAUUCAGUGAAUCAUCGAAUCUUUGAACGCAAGUUGCGCUUUCGAGAGCCCU
Molecule: unclassified non-coding RNA, 473 nt
Filed under: Polymyxa graminis
Lineage: Eukaryota; Endomyxa; Phytomyxea; Plasmodiophorida; Plasmodiophoridae
Description: sequence contains 18S rRNA gene, ITS1, 5.8S rRNA gene
Rfam family: Eukaryotic small subunit ribosomal RNA (bases 1-215)
Source: RNAcentral